This 749-nucleotide ribosomal RNA is filed under the name uncultured bacterium. RNAcentral's name for it is "bacterial SSU rRNA". It matches the Rfam family "Bacterial small subunit ribosomal RNA", at positions 8 to 783 of the family's 1533-position model. The record is from RNAcentral.
AGAGUUUGAUCCUGGCUCAGGACGAACGCUGGCGGCGUGCUUAACACAUGCAAGUCGAGCGAUGAAGUUCCUUCGAGAGCGGCGGACGGGUGAGUAACACGUGGGUAACCUGCCUCAUAGAGGGGAAUAGCCUUCCGAAAGGAAGAUUAAUACCGCAUAAGAUUGUAGUACCGCAUGGUAUAGCAAUUAAAGGAGCAAUCCGCUAUGAGAUGGACCCGCGUCGCAUUAGCUAGUUGGUGAGGUAACGGCUCACCAAGGCGACGAUGCGUAGCCGACCUGAGAGGGUGAUCGGCCACAUUGGGACUGAGACACGGCCCAGACUCCUACGGGAGGCAGCAGUGGGGAAUAUUGCACAAUGGGGGAAACCCUGAUGCAGCAACGCCGCGUGAGUGAUGACGGUCUUCGGAUUGUAAAGCUCUGUCUUCAGGGACGAUAAUGACGGUACCUGAGGAGGAAGCCACGGCUAACUACGUGCCAGCAGCCGCGGUAAUACGUAGGUGGCAAGCGUUGUCCGGAUUUACUGGGCGUAAAGGGAGCGUAGGUGGAUAUUUAAGUGGGAUGUGAAAUACUCGGGCUUAACCUGGGUGCUGCAUUCCAAACUGAAUAUCUAGAGUGCAGGAGAGGAAAGUAGAAUUCCUAGUGUAGCGGUGAAAUGCGUAGAGAUUAGGAAGAAUACCAGUGGCGAAAGCGACUUUCUGGACUGUAACUGACACUGAGCUCGAAAGCGUGGGGAGCAAACAGGAUUAGAU